This 465-nucleotide ribosomal RNA is filed under the name Vreelandella stevensii. RNAcentral describes it as "partial 16S ribosomal RNA". It matches the Rfam family "Bacterial small subunit ribosomal RNA", at positions 338 to 795 of the family's 1533-position model. Lineage: Bacteria; Pseudomonadati; Pseudomonadota; Gammaproteobacteria; Oceanospirillales; Halomonadaceae. The record is from RNAcentral.
CCUACGGGAGGCAGCAGUGGGGAAUAUUGGACAAUGGGGGCAACCCUGAUCCAGCCAUGCCGCGUGUGUGAAGAAGGCCCUCGGGUUGUAAAGCACUUUCAGUGAGGAAGAACGCCUGGUGGUUAAUACCCAUCAGGAAAGACAUCACUCACAGAAGAAGCACUGGCUAACUCCGUGCCAGCAGCCGCGGUAAUACGGAGGGUGCGAGCGUUAAUCGGAAUUACUGGGCGUAAAGCGCGCGUAGGUGGCUUGAUAAGCCGGUUGUGAAAGCCCCGGGCUCAACCUGGGAACGGCAUCCGGAACUGUCAAGCUAGAGUGCAGGAGAGGAAGGUAGAAUUCCCGGUGUAGCGGUGAAAUGCGUAGAGAUCGGGAGGAAUACCAGUGGCGAAGGCGGCCUUCUGGACUGACACUGACACUGAGGUGCGAAAGCGUGGGUAGCAAACAGGAUUAGAUACCCUAGUAGUC